CUCCUACGGGGGGCAGCAGUAGGGAAUCUUCCACAAUGGGCGAAAGCCUGAUGGAGCAACGCCGCGUGGGUGAAGAAGGUCUUCGGAUCGUAAAACCCUGUUGUUAGAGAAGAAAGUGCGUGAGAGUAACUGUUCACGUUUCGACGGUAUCUAACCAGAAAGCCACGGCUAACUACGUGCCAGCAGCCGCGGUAAUACGUAGGUGGCAAGCGUUAUCGGGAUUAUUGGGCGUUAAAGGGAACGC
This 244-nucleotide ribosomal RNA is filed under the name uncultured bacterium. RNAcentral describes it as "partial 16S ribosomal RNA". It matches the Rfam family "Bacterial small subunit ribosomal RNA", at positions 336 to 572 of the family's 1533-position model. The record is from RNAcentral.